Molecule: ribosomal RNA, 253 nt
Filed under: uncultured bacterium
Lineage: Bacteria
Description: partial 16S ribosomal RNA
Rfam family: Bacterial small subunit ribosomal RNA
Source: RNAcentral
UACGUAGGGAGCAAGCGUUGUCCGGAAUCAUCGGGCGUAAAGCGCGCGUAGGUGGCUUCGUAAGUCCGUUGUGAAAGUCAAAGGCUCAACCUUUGAAAGCCGAUGGAUACUGCGGAGCUAGAGUACGGAAGAGGCGAGUGGAAUUCCUGGUGUAGCGGUGGAAUGCGCAGAUAUCAGGAGGAACACCAAUAGCGAAGGCAGCUCGCUGGGACGUUACUGACACUGAGGCGCGAAAGCGUGGGGAGCGAACAGG